Molecule: ribosomal RNA, 530 nt
Filed under: Aplanochytrium sp. PBS07
Lineage: Eukaryota; Bigyra; Thraustochytrida; Thraustochytriidae
Description: partial Bacterial large subunit ribosomal RNA
Rfam family: Bacterial large subunit ribosomal RNA
Source: RNAcentral
UAAAGGGCAUUUGGUGGAUGCCUUGGCGCGCAGAGGCGAUGAAGGACGUGGCACGCUGCGAAAAGCCUCGGGGAGCCGCGAGCAGGCUUUGAUCCGGGGAUCUCCGAAUGGGGCAACCCCCACCUUCGGGUGGAUCACUCUCUGAAUUCAUAGGGGAGUGAGGCGAACCCGGCGAACUGAAACAUCUCAGUAGCCGGAGGAAAGGACAUCAACCGAGACUCCGUGAGUAGUGGCGAGCGAAAGCGGACCAGGCCAGUGGCUGCGAGACGAGAACCGGAACCGGCUGGAAAGCCGGACCAGAGCGGGUGACAGUCCCGUACGGGUAGAGCGUCUUGUGGUCCUUGAGUAAGGCGGGACACGUGAAAUCCUGUCUGAACAUGGGGGGACCACCCUCCAAGCCUAAGUACUCCUGCGCGACCGAUAGCGAACAAGUACCGUGAGGGAAAGGUGAAAAGUACCCCGGGAGGGGAGUGAAAUAGUACCUGAAACCGUGUGCCUACAAGCCGUGAGAGCCUUAUGCCGCUUCGGUG